GCUAGAGUGGCAGAGACCGGUAAUUGCAUAAAAUUUAAGCUUUUAGUAUCAGAGGUUCAACUCCUCUCUCUAACA
Molecule: transfer RNA, 75 nt
Filed under: Cynomops abrasus (Cinnamon dog-faced bat)
Lineage: Eukaryota; Metazoa; Chordata; Mammalia; Chiroptera; Molossidae
Description: tRNA-Leu
Rfam family: tRNA
About the family: Transfer RNA (tRNA) molecules are approximately 80 nucleotides in length. Their secondary structure includes four short double-helical elements and three loops (D, anti-codon, and T loops).
Source: RNAcentral